RNAcentral lists this ribosomal RNA (447 nucleotides) under uncultured bacterium. RNAcentral's name for it is "SSU rRNA". It matches the Rfam family "Bacterial small subunit ribosomal RNA", at positions 26 to 518 of the family's 1533-position model. The record is from RNAcentral.
AGAGCGAACGCUGGCGGCAGGCCUAACACAUGCAAGUCGAGCGCCCGUAGCAAUACGGGAGCGGCAGACGGGAUAGUAACACGUGGGAACGCGCCCUUCGGUUCGGAAUAACUCAGGGAAACUUGAGCUAAUACCGAAUACGCCCUUACGGGGAAAGAUUUAUUGCCGAAGGAACGGCCCGCGUCCGAUUAGCUAGUUGGUGAGGUAAUGGCUCACCAAGGCUACGAUCGGUAGCUGGUCUGAGAGGAUGACCAGCAUCACUGGGACUGAGACACGGCCCAGACUCCUACGGGAGGCAGCAGUGGGGAAUAUGGACAAUGGGCGCAAGCCUGAUCCAGCCAUGCCGCGUGGAUGAUGAAGGCCUUAGGGUUGUAAAGUCCUUUUAACGGGGAAGAUAAUGACGGUACCGUAGAAUAAGCCCCGGACUAACUUCGUGCCAGCAGCCGC